This 97-nucleotide microRNA precursor is filed under the name Marmota monax (woodchuck). Lineage: Eukaryota; Metazoa; Chordata; Mammalia; Rodentia; Sciuridae. The record is from RNAcentral.
AGUGGGAUUGCUGGAUCAUAUGGUAGUUUUAUUUUUUGGAGAAAUUUCUAUUUUGUUUUCCAUAGAGGUUGCACUAUUUUACCUUACCACCAAUAGU